This 328-nucleotide ribosomal RNA is filed under the name uncultured eukaryote. Its description in RNAcentral is "partial 18S ribosomal RNA". It matches the Rfam family "Eukaryotic small subunit ribosomal RNA", at positions 1470 to 1796 of the family's 1831-position model. The record is from RNAcentral.
CCCUUAGAUGUCCUGGGCCGCACGCGCGCUACACUGAUGCAUGCAACGAGUUUAUAACCUUGGCCUGAAAGGUCUGGGUAAUCUUUUGAACGCGCAUCGUGAUAGGGAUAGAUUAUUGCAAUUGUUAAUCUUGAACGAGGAAUUCCUAGUAAACGCGAGUCAUCAGCUCGCAUUGAUUACGUCCCUGCCCUUUGUACACACCGCCCGUCGCACCUACCGAUUGAAUGGUUCGGUGAAGAUCUCGGACUUCGAUAUUUAUUCUUUAUUGAGUUUAUAUUGUGGGAAGUUAUCUAAACCUCAUCAUUUAGAGGAAGGUGAAGUCGUAACA